AUCUCAGAAGCCAAGCGUAAC
Molecule: small nuclear RNA, 21 nt
Filed under: Arabidopsis thaliana (thale cress)
Lineage: Eukaryota; Viridiplantae; Streptophyta; Magnoliopsida; Brassicales; Brassicaceae
Description: snRNA_02303
Source: RNAcentral